GACGAACCGUGCGAACGUUGUUCGGAUUCACUGGGCUUAAAGGCGCGUAGGCGGACUCGCAAGUCUGUGGUGAAAGCCCCAGCUCAACUGGGAAGUGCCGUGGAUACUGCAAGUCUGGAGGAGGUAGGGCAUCUGGAACGCUGGGUGGAGCGGUGAAUGCGUGAUAUCCAGCGGAACUCCGGUGGCGAAGGCGACAUCCUGGACCGGUAUGACGCUGAG
Molecule: ribosomal RNA, 219 nt
Filed under: uncultured bacterium
Lineage: Bacteria
Description: partial 16S ribosomal RNA
Rfam family: Bacterial small subunit ribosomal RNA
Source: RNAcentral